This 1014-nucleotide ribosomal RNA is filed under the name Triticum aestivum (bread wheat). RNAcentral describes it as "partial small subunit ribosomal RNA". The record is from RNAcentral. Lineage: Eukaryota; Viridiplantae; Streptophyta; Magnoliopsida; Poales; Poaceae.
UCGCCAUGGCCGGACCUCCCCACCGAGCUUGCCGCCCUCAUCAUGUCCCGUCUACCAUCCCAUCGAGACCGCCUCAGUUUCGGCGCUAUCUGCCGUGACUGGCGCCUCGCUUCUUCAUCCACCAUCGAGAUCCCGAGGGACCACCAUGAGUGUGCCGACGAGUGCAGCGAUAGGGGCGCCCAUGACCCAUGUGGCUCGAAGAGAACAUGGCCACUGAUCGCCGCAGAGGGCGUUGCCUUCACCAUGCGUAAGGUCCUCGUGUGCUCGUCCAGUCUCGUCGCUGCGAUCCUUGGCCGUGACGUCCGAAGGCCAGGUUCCGCUCAUAGCUUGGUGUUUUUCCGGCCGGGCACCGGUCAGCUCUCAUGGGUGCUUCUGCUUGCCACCAAUAUGUAUGGGUACAAGUGUGGGUACAAGUACAGGGACAUCGCCUUGUACCGUGGAAAAAUCUUCGCGCUCAUAUCGUCGGAGCAGCUCUUCGCCCAUGAGAUUGGACAGCCAUGUCGCGUCGAGCAUGUCAUCAAGGAAAGCACACCGCCACCGCCCGGGAUCGGCCCAUUGUCGCCGUCGUUUCUGGUGAAGUACUACAUGGUCGUCUCAUCUGAUAAUAGAAAGCUACUAAUGGUGCGGUGGAACAUCCCUCACGCGGCCUACGUUCAUCAUUCAAAGAUGAAUCUGCAAGUGUUCGAGGCAGAUUUGGAGAAGACACAGUGGUUGGAGGUGAAUGACUUGGAUGGCCAGGUCCUCUUCCUGAGCAGGACUUGCUCAAGGGCACUCGCGGGCUCAUCGACGGAACACUACGGGCAGACAUUUCGAGGAAAUCGUGUAUUUAUCUUGGGCACUGACUGGGCAGAGAUACGGAGGCAGUUGAACCCAUGCACGUGCCAUGAUUGCGAGAAGCUCGCCAAUGGUGUUCCAAGCUAUUGCGUGUAUGACAUGACGAGUGGAAAGCUUAGCCUUGUUUCAUUACGCAAAGGUCGUAGAAUGAGAAAUCCAGGUUCAGAAUGGUUCUUCCCC